Molecule: ribosomal RNA, 497 nt
Filed under: uncultured bacterium
Lineage: Bacteria
Description: partial 16S ribosomal RNA
Rfam family: Bacterial small subunit ribosomal RNA
Source: RNAcentral
GAUGAACGCUGGCGGCGUGCCUAAUACAUGCCAGUCGAGCGAACAGAUAAGGAGCUUGCUCCUUUGACGUUAGCGGCGGACGGGUGAGUAACACGUGGGUAACCUACCUAUAGGACUGGAAUAACUCCGGGAAACCGGGGCUAAUGCCGGAUAACAUUUAGAACCGCAUGGUUCUAAAGUGAAAGAUGGUUUUGCUAUCACUUAUAGAUGGACCCGCGCCGUAUUAGCUAGUUGGUAAGGUAACGGCUUACCAAGGCAACGAUACGUAGCCGACCUGAGAGGGUGAUCGGCCACACUGGAACUGAGACACGGUCCAGACUCCUACGGGAGGCAGCAGUAGGGAAUCUUCCGCAAUGGGCGAAAGCCUGACGGAGCAACGCCGCGUGAGUGAUGAAGGUCUUCGGAUCGUAAAACUCUGUUAUUAGGGAAGAACAAAUGUGUAAGUAACUGUGCACGUCUUGACGGUACCUAAUCAGAAAGCCACGGCUAACUACGUG